RNAcentral lists this ribosomal RNA (394 nucleotides) under uncultured bacterium. RNAcentral describes it as "partial 16S ribosomal RNA". It matches the Rfam family "Bacterial small subunit ribosomal RNA", at positions 523 to 918 of the family's 1533-position model. The record is from RNAcentral.
CUACGUAGGGGACGAGCGUUGUCCGGAAUUACUGGGCGUAAAGGGCGCGCAGGCGGAUAUUUAAGUCAGCUGUAAAAGGCAUGAGCUCAACUCAUGUAUGCGGUUGAAACUGGGUAUCUAGAGUGCUGGAGAGGUAGGCGGAAUUCCCGGUGUAGCGGGGAAAUGCGUAGAUAUCGGGAAGAACACCAGUGGCGAAGGCGGCUUACUGGCCAGCAACUGACGCUGAGGCGCGAAAGCCAGGGGAGCGAACGGGAUUAGAUACCCCGGUAGUCCUGGCCGUAAACGAUGAAUGCUAGGUGUGGGUGUCGAGAGGCAUCCGUGCCGGAGUUAACGCGAUAAGCAUUCCGCCUGGGGAGUACGAUCGCAAGAUUGAAACUCAAAUGAAUUGGCGGGG